This 460-nucleotide ribosomal RNA is filed under the name uncultured bacterium. RNAcentral describes it as "partial 16S ribosomal RNA". It matches the Rfam family "Bacterial small subunit ribosomal RNA", at positions 338 to 795 of the family's 1533-position model. The record is from RNAcentral.
CCUACGGGAGGCAGCAGUGAGGAAUAUUGGUCAAUGGCCGUAAGGCUGAACCAGCCAAGUAGCGUGAGGGAAGACUGCCCUAUGGGUUGUAAACCUCUUUUAUGCGGGGACAAAGGUGUCCACGUGUGGCUGUUUGCAGGUACUGCAUGAAUAAGGACCGGCUAAUUCCGUGCCAGCAGCCGCGGUAAUACGGAAGGUCCGGGCGUUAUCCGGGUUUAUUGGGUUUAAAGGGGGCGUAGGCCGGUCUUUAAGCGUGCCGGGAAAUUUUGUGGCUCAACCAUGGGAGUGCGGCGCGAACUGGAUGCCUUGAGUGCGCGGAAGGCAGGCGGAAUUCGUGGUGUAGCGGCGAAAUGCUUAGAUAUCACGAAGAACCCCGAUUGCGAAGGCAGCCUGCCGCAGCGUUACUGACGCUGAAGCUCGAAAGCGCGGGUAUCGAACAGGAUUAGAUACCCUUGUAGUC